CCCUUAGAUGUUCUGGGCCGCACGCGCGCUACACUGAUUCAUGCAACAAGUUUUGUCCUUGGCUGAUAGGCCUGGGUAAUCUUUGAACGUGAAUCGUGAUGGGGAUAGAUGCUUGCAAUUAUUCAUCUUCAACGAGGAAUUCCUAGUAAACGCAAGUCAUCAGCUUGCAUUGAUUACGUCCCUGCCCUUUGUACACACCGCCCGUCGCACCUACCGAUUGAAUGGUCCGGUGAAAUCUUCGGAUCUGAGAGAUGUCUGAUUAAUUUCGGACGCCUUUUGGAAAAGUUGUUUAAACCUUACCAUUUAGAGGAAGGUGAAGUCGUAACA
RNAcentral lists this ribosomal RNA (327 nucleotides) under uncultured eukaryote. RNAcentral's name for it is "partial 18S ribosomal RNA". It matches the Rfam family "Eukaryotic small subunit ribosomal RNA", at positions 1470 to 1796 of the family's 1831-position model. The record is from RNAcentral.